Molecule: transfer RNA, 91 nt
Filed under: Longispora fulva
Lineage: Bacteria; Bacillati; Actinomycetota; Actinomycetes; Micromonosporales; Micromonosporaceae
Description: tRNA-Asn
Source: RNAcentral
UGGCGCCCCGGGGGGGGACUCCCCCCGGGGCGCCGUUCGCGUUCCGGGCUUCUCCGGGCCCGUCCGUGUUCCGGUCCCGGGGAUGCCGUCC